GUAACAUUUCCCAGCGCUGCCACAGGCGCGUCUCGCCCUGUCCAACGCGGAGCCCGAAGAAUUACUAAGAAACCGAGGUCUGAAGGAGGGAAGAGGUGACGGGCUCGAGGCCACACGGUGGGCCAGGCUGGGCCCGGCUGCACGCCGGCUACCGGGGCCCAGCCCUCUGCACGCCUCCCGCAGCCUCAGUUUCCCUGUCCGUGGUACUGAGGAUGCUCGGGCCUAGAAGUUCAGGGCUGGAGGCCCAGGGACCGUCGAGGGAGGGGCAUCAUCCCCGCCAUGGGGCCGCCGCAACUGCCCAGAGCACAGGCCAAAGGAAGCUGCAGGAUGAAGACAACAGCAUCACAAGGAGGAAGCCAGGAUCCCUGUGUUACCACAAGGAGGAGAGAUGCCUAACCAAGACCGUCUGCAAGGAUUUUGUGUGAGCCAGAAGCAGAGCUGUAUGGUGUUCAGCCACUGAGAUUUGAGGGCUGUUUGUUACAGCAGUUGACCUAUCCUGACUGACACAUCACAUCAUUCCUUUCCCCACCAUGUGUCUAACAUGCUACCAAAUUGAAUUUUAAGUAAAUUAGUACUUAUAAAUUAAGUACAAAUGCUUUUCAAAUUCACAUGAAUCUUUGGUAAAUAAAACUGGUUGUAAAAUUAUUGAUAAAUAU
This 656-nucleotide long non-coding RNA is filed under the name Homo sapiens (human). RNAcentral's name for it is "non-protein coding lnc-TCIRG1-2:16". The record is from RNAcentral. Lineage: Eukaryota; Metazoa; Chordata; Mammalia; Primates; Hominidae.